RNAcentral lists this RNase P RNA (219 nucleotides) under Lachancea thermotolerans. RNAcentral's name for it is "Nuclear RNase P". It matches the Rfam family "Nuclear RNase P", at positions 75 to 275 of the family's 301-position model. Rfam says of the family: Ribonuclease P (RNase P) is a ubiquitous endoribonuclease, found in archaea, bacteria and eukarya as well as chloroplasts and mitochondria. Lineage: Eukaryota; Fungi; Ascomycota; Saccharomycetes; Saccharomycetales; Saccharomycetaceae. The record is from Rfam by way of RNAcentral.
GAACACAGCGAGACAACAAUCGCCAGGGGCUUCGGCCCUGAUUCUCGUGAGAGAAGCCGCUGGAAAGCGGUUGUGGGCGCUGUCAUCAGAAAUACACAUGUUGGCCGGCGCUAUCGCCGCACCAAUGUGAUGGGAAAGGCAGCGGAUGUCUCGUUUGACUUUGCCUUAGGGUAAAGGUCUGUUGAGUGCAAUGGUAGGAGGCCGCUUUAUGGUGGCCAA